UCGAAAUCAUCACACGGAGUUGGAUGCUCGUUGUGGGACUUCUCUCUCUCUCUCGUUGUUGCUGGCCUUUCACGAGGCAUGUGCACACAGGAAGGUUGUCUUCAGUGAGCCUCUCCAACUUCCGAUUUCUCCACACACACACACCUGUGAACACAUGUGGAAUGAAGGGGGGAGAGGCUGGAUAACGGCCUUUCUUUUCUGACCUCCAUCUUUUUUUUAAUUCACACACGCUUGUAAAACCCGAGAUGUACUAUUUGUAAAUGAAAUAAAAA
Molecule: unclassified non-coding RNA, 272 nt
Filed under: soil metagenome
Description: partial internal transcribed spacer 1
Source: RNAcentral